Long non-coding RNA from Epinephelus moara (kelp grouper), 4976 nucleotides. RefSeq lists it as uncharacterized. NCBI's taxonomy places the organism in Eukaryota, Metazoa, Chordata, Actinopteri, Perciformes, Serranidae. The transcript has 4 exons. The record is from RefSeq and is a predicted model, not a curated record.
UCUUUACGAUCCAACUUGGAGAUAAAAACCCUCAUCCGUUUGACAUGUAAAUGUCAAAGCUGCCUUCUUUUUUAUAGUUUGGCCCAAAGCAGAAGGAGGUUAGCUUUAAAAAAAAUAUCUCAACACACAUACACACACAGAAGAGGCAGGAGAUAGCGGCUGUGUCCAGAUGAGGCUCGGUGCAGGACCUCGUCAACCCCCCCUCUAUCAGCAGAGAAAUAGAGCUGUGUAUGAGCAGGGAAGCUGAAGCAGCAUCAGUCGUCACACGGUUCCUUCUCAAGAGUCUUUUGGAUACAUUUCUUGAGGGAUCCAAAAAGGAAUCCUCUCCCCCUUCCUUCUCUACAUGUGUCAGGACGCUGCGUUUCCUCUCCGCUUUGUGGGAACGGGAAGCAGCAGCAUUGUGUUGGAGCUGACUGUGGUUUAAUCAUUAAUGAGCACUAACAGUCGGGGCAGGACAGGCAUGGCCUACAGCCGGGGACACACACAGGACGGUGUGUUGCAGUUUGGGAGAAGCGAGGCGGCAAACGGCACCAAACGGCACAGAGAGAGGAAGACUCGGGCUCGGGUACGGAGACUGGAGGUGUUUGCUAAAUGAGAAAGUCUGCCCUGUUGGAAGCAGCGGUUAAUGUCAGGAAGAGAGUGUGAAGGAGAGAAACAUAAAUGGAUAAUGCACCUUAAAGUGAGACAGUCACAGCCUGCUCUCACGCGCCCUGAAUGUCAAUGCGCUGUGUUAUCUUCCCUAUUUGCUGUUUCCUCCUGUAGAUGACACACUGAGGUUUAACCAGACUUAAGCAUGUUUCAUGUACAGUUGGCCUUUUCUUGCCCUUUUGUUUACGUCACACAGCUAAAGCUAAAGUCUGCAAUUAUUCAGAAGGGCGCACCGUUUUGAACGAGUUUGUGAGGCCAAAUUGUCCAAAUAAAUUGAAUAUUUUUUCAGCGAAAUAUGAAAAUAAAAAUUUAAAAAAGGCAACUGUUUUAAUUUUCUACUACUAUCAUACAAUAACGCUACUACUAAUACGAACACCGUCAUAACAAUGAUACUCGUACAUGGGAACAGUACGCAGUCGGUGAAAAUAUUCGGGGAUGUGUUUCCUAUCUAAAUAACUAGCCUAUUUAAAUUAUAAAAAUAACAACAUCUCUAAUAUCAAUGAUGAUAACAAUAAUAAUAAUAACAUACAUAGUGUGUAAUAAUUUAAGCCGGCUGUGUGCAGUAAAUCAGACGCGCGUGUGUGUGUGUGUGUGUGUGUGUGUGUGUGACCGAGCUGCGGUGUAAACAGUUGAGGGCUGCUGAAGGAACUCCAGGAAUCUGAGAAACUUCAGAGAUUAUCGACAAUUAAAGCUGAAGGAGUCAGACUGCUGCUUUAUUGCUUUAUGGCUCUCUGUGUGUGUGUGUGUGUGUGUGUGUGUGUGUGUGUGUGUGUGGUACAGAGAGAGAGAAAGAAAGAGAGAGAGAGUGUUCAGGACUUUUAUGGUUUUAUGGCCGUUUAUGACUCCUUGUAAAGUCCGAGGAAUGGCGACGAACUGAAAAACAGGCCCGCAGCAAACAGCAGAUGAACAAAUGUGCUGUGCUGCACACAAGGAACGCGCGUGCACACACGAACACGAGCACUGUGCAGUUCAUCUGCGGUUCAUUUCAGCCUCGGCAAUGCUCAAACUGCCGGCAUUGCACUCAGUGUUAUUAAAAAGCAUUGUGAAAUAAUUAACUGUCUAUGAAAUUAAACAUUCGCACUUUAUUUUAUUGACUUACACUUUUUUGCUUUUGCUGUUUUUGCCCAGAAUUUGAUUUCAACCCCUGCACAGAGAUAACUACACUGGGGAAUGUUCCGAAAUAUUCCUAGUGUUGAAACUGCAGCCACCAUUUGGAAAAUAACGCAUCUUGAUUUCUAAAUUCAAAAACGUGUAUUUUCGACAUGUAUUUCAGUCCUAAAUGUUUUAUUUUUUUCAUGUUUUUAUUUUCUCCUUUUUUUCUUUCUUUUUAUUUGAGGAAUUUGAAAAAAACACGGCAUCUAAAAGAAAAAGAAACUCACAAUAAUCAGAAAUAUUUUUAUAUCAAGGUGAUGGAAGAUAAAUAUUUGAUUUGGAAAAAAAGGCACAUCCUCUCAGGUGUUUCCGUUCCAACGUUGAAUAACUUUAAAUGUUUUAAAAAUAGUCUGUGACAUGUUUAAGAUACCACUUAUCACCUGUCUGUUUAAUCCUGUAAGGAGAAGAAAAAAUUGGACUUUAAUAUCUCUGUAUAUUAAUAUCUGUUUCACGUAACUACAACAGUGUAGAGGUGCACGUAAUGUCCGUACCUUUAGAGUAUAAGCCUCAGUAUCCUGGUUAAGAAACAGUGUGUACGUGCGUGUUUUUGUGCGCGCGCGUUGACCGACCUCUCCUGCGCGAGUUAAUGACAAACUGAAAGAAACUGCCUCACUAGUGUUUUUUUUGUUUUAAUGUAUUAAUCGUUUCCAGGCUGCACGAGCUGGCUGGCUGCGUCCUUCACGGCACCGUGAGCUCGUGCUUUGGGUCAGUUCACCGAACUGUUACCGGUGGGCGCGAGCUCUCGGCCACAUAAUGGCCCCGGGACGAGUUAAAGAUUAACGGACGGAUGAAUGCAGCAUCACGGGGAGCUGGGGCAGCUUGUUUUUCUCCAACUCUCUGCUAAAUGAAAAAAAAAAAAAACGGAGCGGACACGCGCACUGGUGCACGCGUAACUAAUUUAUUUUAUUAUAGCCGGUAAUCAGGGACAUAAUACGAUAUAAGAAGUUCUAAAACAUAAACCACAUUAAAUUGUACUUGCAAUUCACAUUUUCAAUACGUAUUACAAUGACUCGAUUUUCAUCAUUUGUUUUAUUAAGUCGUGGCGAUUAUUAUUAUUGUUACUAUUAUUAUUAUUAUUAUUAUUGUUAUUGUUGUUGUUGUUGUUGUUGUUGUCGUCGUUGGUGUUGUCAUUUUUGAGGGUUGUUUUUUUAUAAACUUUGUCAAUACCAAAAUGGCAUAAUUAUUACCUAUGAGCCUGCACAUUAUGUGUAACUACAUUAAUACUUUGUAUGAUUAUGGUGGUGCAUGUGAAGUUUAUAUACACUUAAAUAUUAUGUGGAAUUCACUUUUAAUAUUAUCGUAUGGUAAUCAGAAUCUACCUCAGUCUCUUUGUUCACACCAGAGAAAGACAAAAAGCCACAACCAACAAGACAAAAGAAUAAAUGUACGGCCCACACAUUUCCACACGGUCACGUGCACGCACAUACUCCCUGGCUCUCGUCAUGUCUGGUCUGGUUUCAUUCCAAAGAGGACAACAAAGUGAAGUCUCGGGCACAUCAUCAGUUUGUCAACAGCUUACACACUAUAACAGAAGCAACCCCACACUUACACACACACUCACACACGUGUUGCCAGCAGCACAUCACACCUUCGAACGACGACAGAGACACAUUUAGCCUCCAAGCCAGGAAGCAUAGUGUGCGUGUAUAAGAGUCUCUGACGAGUGGGUAUUACCCAGAGGAUGAAGCGCGUGUUUUUGUGUGUGUUUGAGAAUGUUUAGUACUGUCGCCAACAUGACGCUAGAUGGCACCAGAGCGUUUUGUAGGAGCGGGCUGAGGCUGCUGAGGCUGCUGGGAGGCUCAGUGCUGAGCAUAGCCGCCGAGCUGCAGCUCUGCCCCGGGCUGGGUCAGUGUGGCCACCGCUCCUCCAGCCUCUGGAGCUGCACUCUCACUUUGUUUUUCAUGUGUGAGCCUGGUUUCCAUCACAAUCCAAUGAUAAAAGUAGUCCCAGAUACUUUGUAGUUUGACGCAUCAAAUUUCAAUAUUUAUAUCAGAUACUGUUUUAUCGUAAUUUAAAUUUAUAUUUUUAGGCUCAGUAUUCUGUGCCAAAUAUGUCAUGUAUAUGAUAUAUAAAUAGUUUGCUUGUGGUGAAACAUGGUGUUGAUCCGUACUGAGGAUAUGAAUGUACAUGCGUGUAAAUGAAUAAUAUAUAUAUAUUUGUAUAAAUAUGUGUUUAUAUAAAUGAAAUGAUAAACCGGUCUCGAGCUCUGUGACUUAUGAUACUCAAACCGCUGCUCCCGCUAGCCUUAAUGACAUAGAAUUAACACUGAUUUAAAUCUAGCAAAUGAUGAGAAUAUUAUGAUUUACUAUGCAAUAUCUGUUAUUAUAUAACUAAUAUUUAUUUUAAAAAUAAUGAUGACCACUUCUACUGCAGCAAUAAACACUGACAGCUGCAAAAGUAAAUAACUGAACUGUAAAGACUGAGGACAAUGGUAUUUAAACUUUAGAUGGCAUACUGGGUCUAUAUGGUCGACCUUUUUAAACAACAUAUAUACUUAUAAAUUAAUAAUUAGAAAUUAAGCAUUUUUAUUUUAUGCAAAAAAUCUCUAUAUAUUAAUAGCAUGAAUCUGUGCCUGAGGUGAGCAGGCGUUAUGUUGUCUUUCUUAGCAUUUGUCUCUUCUCGCCCUCUCUCUUACACACAAUGUGCCUUUUAAAUAUUAGUUAAAUAUUUGUGUUUGUGCUGUAAUGAAGGAAGGAGCUGGUUUAUGACCAUAAAGUUAAUACCUGACACAGUGACUUGCCAGAUUUCUUAGAGCGUCUCCUAUAUUAAAGCAUCAUCCACCCGUAGUUGCUACGUGCAGUUAUUUCAUAAACACUGGACGUAAAAAGAAAAUGUCACUGAGUUUUACCAAACCGUACAAUAUUAACUUUGUUGUGUGGUGACAGGUUUGCAGUAUGAAUGUGCUCCUAAUCCUUAAUGAAUAUCAAAAAUACUCAGCCAAUAAUGCGCUUAUGUAUUGUGGGAAAUGUAGUCGGCUACUGAUGCUUCAGAUGCUACAUAUCUAUUGUUAUUACCCGGCACCGCGUCUUAGUAUCUAUUGCUGUAACAGUGUUUGUCUACUGAUUAUAUUUUUGAUAUCUGGUAACAAUAACUCUUUGUUGUUGAUUUUGUAUUGGUGCAGAGAUGACGAGAAGUGUGUAUUGCUUUUAAAUGUAUUCCGUUAACUAAACUUUCUU